GACGAACGCUGGCGGCGUGCCUAAUACAUGCCAGUUGAGCGCUGAAGGUUGGUACUUGUACCGACUGGAUGAGCAGCGAACGGGUGAGUAACGCGUGGGGAAUCUGCCUUUGAGCGGGGGACAACAUUUGGAAACGAAUGCUAAUACCGCAUAAAAACUUUAAACACAAGUUUUAAGUUUGAAAGAUGCAAUUGCAUCACUCAAAGAUGAUCCCGCGUUGUAUUAGCUAGUUGGUGAGGUAAAGGCUCACCAAGGCGAUGAUACAUAGCCGACCUGAGAGGGUGAUCGGCCACAUUGGGACUGAGACACGGCCCAAACUCCUACGGGAGGCAGCAGUAGGGAAUCUUCGGCAAUGGACGAAAGUCUGACCGAGCAACGCCGCGUGAGUGAAGAAGGUUUUCGGACCGUAAAACUCUGUUGGUAGAGAAGAACGUUGGUGAGAGUGGAAAGCUCAUCAAGUGACGGUAACUACCCAGAAAGGGACGGCUAACUACGUG
Molecule: ribosomal RNA, 497 nt
Filed under: uncultured bacterium
Lineage: Bacteria
Description: partial 16S ribosomal RNA
Rfam family: Bacterial small subunit ribosomal RNA
Source: RNAcentral